UGUUUCGGCUAGGGGGCCAUCCCGGCUUACCAACCCGAUGCAAACUGCGAAUACCGGAGAAUGUUAUCACGGGAGACACACGGCGGGUGCUAACGUCCGUCGUGAAGAGGGAAACAACCCAGACCGCCAGCUAAGGUCCCAAAGUCAUGGUUAAGUGGGAAACGAUGUGGGAAGGCCCAGACAGCCAGGAUGUUGGCUUAGAAGCAGCCAUCAUUUAAAGAAAGCGUAAUAGCUCACUGGUCGAGUCGGCCUGCGCGGAAGAUGUAACGGGGCUAAACCAUGCACCGAAGCUGCGGCAGCGACACUUUAGUGUUGUUGGGUAGGGGAGCGUUCUGUAAGCC
RNAcentral lists this ribosomal RNA (341 nucleotides) under Salmonella enterica subsp. diarizonae. RNAcentral's name for it is "partial 23S ribosomal RNA". It matches the Rfam family "Bacterial large subunit ribosomal RNA", at positions 911 to 1249 of the family's 2925-position model. The record is from RNAcentral. Lineage: Bacteria; Pseudomonadati; Pseudomonadota; Gammaproteobacteria; Enterobacterales; Enterobacteriaceae.